UAAGGAUAUUUUUCGGAACACACUUCUUAGUGUGAGAAACGCUUUGUCUGUUCAGUUUUGAGGGUUCAAUAACCUCAAGAUUAAUUCGUUCUUUGAAAACUAGAUAACAAUGUAAGGCAAAACAUAUAUACCGAUUUAAACAUAAACGGAAAUGACGUACGCUCGUCAUGGAAGUUUAGCAAACUUAUUAAU
Molecule: unclassified non-coding RNA, 192 nt
Filed under: uncultured bacterium
Lineage: Bacteria
Description: 16S-23S ribosomal RNA intergenic spacer
Source: RNAcentral